UGGGGAAUAUUGCACAAUGGGGGAAACCCUGAUGCAGCGACGCCGCGUGAGCGAAGAAGGCCUUCGGGUCGUAAAGCUCUUUUAUGAGGGAAGAUAAUGACGGUACCUAACCAGAAAGCCACGGCUAACUACGUGCCAGCAGCCGCGGUAAUACGUAGGUGGCAAGCGUUGUCCGGAAUUAUUGGGCGUAAAGCGCGCGCAGGUGGUUUAGAAAGUCUGAUGUGAAAGCCCACGGCUCAACCGUGGAGGGUCAUUGGAAACUAAUAAACUUGAGUGCAGGAGAGAAAAGUGGAAUUCCUAGUGUAGCGGUGAAAUGCGUAGAGAUUAGGAGGAACACCGGUGGCGAAAGCGGCUUUUUGGCCUGCAACUGACACUGAGGCGCGAAAGCGUGGGGAGCAAACAGG
This 404-nucleotide ribosomal RNA is filed under the name Verrucomicrobiota bacterium. RNAcentral describes it as "Verrucomicrobia bacterium partial 16S ribosomal RNA". It matches the Rfam family "Bacterial small subunit ribosomal RNA", at positions 355 to 776 of the family's 1533-position model. The record is from RNAcentral. Lineage: Bacteria; Pseudomonadati; Verrucomicrobiota.